This 351-nucleotide unclassified non-coding RNA is filed under the name Llagunoa mollis. RNAcentral's name for it is "partial external transcribed spacer". The record is from RNAcentral. Lineage: Eukaryota; Viridiplantae; Streptophyta; Magnoliopsida; Sapindales; Sapindaceae.
GUGAAUGGUUAUCCCCAAGCAUGUCACAUAUCUUGUGGGUGUGUUUGGUAUCCUGUAUUGAUUACCAAAGCAACGGUAAUAAGUGUUUUUGACCCAUACAUUGAAUGGUGGCNUGUGAAGGUGUUAGUUGGACAAAAGGUUGGCCCCGUGCUCCUAGCAUUCAUUGUGAUCUUGCAAUGGCACAUGGGGUUAUUCUCGUUCUUAUUGAUGCGGACCAUUAUAUGUACUGGCGAAGUGGUUAUAGCCUAUCGUCUUUUGCUUUAUGCACUUGUUCCUUGAUGCGAACGACGACCACAUUCGUCUUGGGGUUUUCUAUAACUCCAUGCGGGUGAAGGUGUCGUGUACGAAUGC